CCUACGGGAGGCAGCAGUAGGGAAUCUUCCACAAUGGGCGCAAGCCUGAUGGAGCAACGCCGCGUGGGUGAAGAAGGGUUUCGGAUCGUAAAACUCUGUUGUUGGAGACGAAAGUGCGUGAGAGUAACUGUUCACGCAGCGACGGUAUCCAACCAGAAAGUCACGGCUAACUACGUGCCAGCAGCCGCGGUAAUACGUAGGUGGCAAGCGUUAUCCGGAUUUAUUGGGCGUAAAGGGAACGCAGGCGGUUGCUUAGGUCUGAUGUGAAAGCCUUCGGCUUAACCGGAGUAGUGCAUUGGAAACUGGGCGACUUGAGUGCAGAAGAGGAGAGUGGAACUCCAUGUGUAGCGGUGGAAUGCGUAGAUAUAUGGAAGAACACCAGUGGCGAAGGCGGCUCUCUGGUCUGUAACUGACGCUGAGGUUCGAAAGCGUGGGUAGCAAACAGGAUUAGAUACCCGAGUAGUC
Molecule: ribosomal RNA, 465 nt
Filed under: uncultured bacterium
Lineage: Bacteria
Description: partial 16S ribosomal RNA
Rfam family: Bacterial small subunit ribosomal RNA
Source: RNAcentral